GAUGAACGCUGGCGGCGUGCUUAACACAUGCAAGUCGAACGGAAAGGCUCCUGCUUGCAGGGGUACUCGAGUGGCGAACGGGUGAGUAACACGUGGGUGAUCUGCCCUGCACUUCGGGAUAAGCCUGGGAAACUGGGUCUAAUACCGGAUAGGCCGAUGUUCUGGAUGCCAUUGUGGAAAGUUUUUUCGGUGUGGGAUGAGCUCGCGGCCUAUCAGCUUGUUGGUGGGGUAAUGGCCUACCAAGGCGUCGACGGGUAGCCGGCCUGAGAGGGUGUACGGCCACAUUGGGACUGAGAUACGGCCCAGACUCCUACGGGAGGCAGCAGUGGGGAAUAUUGCACAAUGGGCGCAAGCCUGAUGCAGCGACGCCGCGUGGGGGAUGACGGCCUUCGGGUUGUAAACUCCUUUCGCUAGGGACGAAGCGCAAGUGACGGUACCUGGAGAAGAAGCACCGGCUAACUACGUG
Molecule: ribosomal RNA, 466 nt
Filed under: uncultured bacterium
Lineage: Bacteria
Description: partial 16S ribosomal RNA
Rfam family: Bacterial small subunit ribosomal RNA
Source: RNAcentral